This 786-nucleotide ribosomal RNA is filed under the name Bacillus sp. (in: firmicutes). Its description in RNAcentral is "bacterial SSU rRNA". It matches the Rfam family "Bacterial small subunit ribosomal RNA", at positions 327 to 1104 of the family's 1533-position model. The record is from RNAcentral. Lineage: Bacteria; Bacillati; Bacillota; Bacilli; Caryophanales; Bacillaceae.
CGGCCCAGACUCCUACGGGAGGCAGCAGUAGGGAAUCUUCCGCAAUGGACGAAAGUCUGACGGAGCAACGCCGCGUGAGUGAUGAAGGUUUUCGGAUCGUAAAGCUCUGUUGUUAGGGAAGAACAAGUACCGUUCGAAUAGGGCGGUACCUUGACGGUACCUAACCAGAAAGCCACGGCUAACUACGUGCCAGCAGCCGCGGUAAUACGUAGGUGGCAAGCGUUGUCCGGAAUUAUUGGGCGUAAAGGGCUCGCAGGCGGUUUCUUAAGUCUGAUGUGAAAGCCCCCGGCUCAACCGGGGAGGGUCAUUGGAAACUGGGGAACUUGAGUGCAGAAGAGGAGAGUGGAAUUCCACGUGUAGCGGUGAAAUGCGUAGAGAUGUGGAGGAACACCAGUGGCGAAGGCGACUCUCUGGUCUGUAACUGACGCUGAGGAGCGAAAGCGUGGGGAGCGAACAGGAUUAGAUACCCUGGUAGUCCACGCCGUAAACGAUGAGUGCUAAGUGUUAGGGGGUUUCCGCCCCUUAGUGCUGCAGCUAAGCAUUAAGCACUCCGCCUGGGGAGUACGGUCGCAAGACUGAAACUCAAAGGAAUUGACGGGGGCCCGCACAAGCGGUGGAGCAUGUGGUUUAAUUCGAAGCAACGCGAAGAACCUUACCAGGUCUUGACAUCCUCUGACAAUCCUAGAGAUAGGACGUCCCCUUCGGGGGCAGAGUGACAGGUGGUGCAUGGUUGUCGUCAGCUCGUGUCGUGAGAUGUUGGGUUAAGUCCCGCAACGAGCGCAACCC